This 807-nucleotide ribosomal RNA is filed under the name Actinomadura sp. Its description in RNAcentral is "bacterial SSU rRNA". It matches the Rfam family "Bacterial small subunit ribosomal RNA", at positions 74 to 895 of the family's 1533-position model. Lineage: Bacteria; Bacillati; Actinomycetota; Actinomycetes; Streptosporangiales; Thermomonosporaceae. The record is from RNAcentral.
GCCCCUUCGGGGGUACUCGAGCGGCGAACGGGUGAGUAACACGUGAGCAACCUGCCCCUGACUCUGGGAUAAGCCCGGGAAACUGGGUCUAAUACCGGAUAUGACCACUCCAGGCAUCUGGUGGUGGUGGAAAGUUUUUCGGUUGGGGAUGGGCUCGCGGCCUAUCAGCUUGUUGGUGGGGUGAUGGCCUACCAAGGCGACGACGGGUAACCGGCCUGAGAGGGCGACCGGUCACACUGGGACUGAGACACGGCCCAGACUCCUACGGGAGGCAGCAGUGGGGAAUAUUGCGCAAUGGGCGGAAGCCUGACGCAGCGACGCCGCGUGGGGGAUGACGGCCUUCGGGUUGUAAACCUCUUUCAGCAGGGACGAAGCUAACGUGACGGUACCUGCAGAAGAAGCGCCGGCUAACUACGUGCCAGCAGCCGCGGUAAUACGUAGGGCGCAAGCGUUGUCCGGAAUUAUUGGGCGUAAAGAGCUCGUAGGCGGUUUGUCGCGUCUGUCGUGAAAGCCCACGGCUUAACCGUGGGUCUGCGGUGGAUACGGGCAGACUAGAGGCAGGUAGGGGAGAAUGGAAUUCCCGGUGUAGCGGUGAAAUGCGCAGAUAUCGGGAGGAACACCGGUGGCGAAGGCGGUUCUCUGGGCCUGUACUGACGCUGAGGAGCGAAAGCGUGGGGAGCGAACAGGAUUAGAUACCCUGGUAGUCCACGCCGUAAACGUUGGGCGCUAGGUGUGGGGUUCUUCCACGGAUUCCGCGCCGUAGCUAACGCAUUAAGCGCCCCGCCUGGGGAGUACGGCCGCAAGGCU